UACGUAGGUGGCAAGCGUUGUCCGGAUUUACUGGGCGUAAAGAGCGCGCAGGCGGUCGUUCAAGUCGCGUGUGAAAGCCCCCGGCUCAACUGGGAGGGUCACGCGAUACUGAUCGACUCGAAGGCAGGAGAGGGUAGUGGAAUUCCCGGUGUAGUGGUGAAAUGCGUAGAUAUCGGGAGGAACACCAGUGGCGAAGGCGGCCACCUGGACAGUAACUGACGCUGAGACGCGAAAGCGUGGGGAGCAAACAGG
RNAcentral lists this ribosomal RNA (252 nucleotides) under uncultured bacterium. RNAcentral's name for it is "partial 16S ribosomal RNA". It matches the Rfam family "Bacterial small subunit ribosomal RNA", at positions 524 to 776 of the family's 1533-position model. The record is from RNAcentral.